Molecule: long non-coding RNA, 1440 nt
Organism: Esox lucius (northern pike)
Lineage: Eukaryota; Metazoa; Chordata; Actinopteri; Esociformes; Esocidae
Source: Ensembl
CUUUGACACACAGCAGCAUCUCGCUAGUAAUGUGGGGACAUUCUGUCAGGACUGUUUAAUUACAACUGUUACUUUCUGGCCUAACUGUGAUCUAUACAGGUGAAUGUUAUGUGUUUAGUCUGGUAAUGUGGGGACAUUCAGUGAUGGUUUCACAACAACUGUUACAAUCUCUGAUGUAUACAGGAGAAUGUUACCAUACCAUCUUCUUCCGCUUAUCCGGGGCCGGGUCGCGGGGGCAGCAGUCUAAGCAGGGAGAAUGUUACUUUUGAUUUGUAUAUUCGGUAUUUCUACACUAUAUUAUGCACUACAUGGGGUUGUGAUUGAUAAGACCGAGCGCACAACACCAGACACAAGCAACUAAACUCAAGGGUGUUUAAUGAGGGUAACAGGACUGAGGUAAGGCUGGAGGGAUGAGGGCUGGGCUGGUAGGUGUGGUAGGCUGGAGGGAUGAGGGCUGGGCUGGUAGGUGUGGUAGGCUGGAGGGAUGAGGGCUGGGCUGGUAGGUGUGGUAGGCAGUAGGGGUAAGGGCUGGGCUGGUAGGUGGGGAAGGCUGUAGGGGUGAGGGCUGGUAGGUGUGGUAGGCUGGAGGGGUGAGGGCUGGGCUGGUAGGCUGUAGGGGUGAGGGCUGGGCUGGUAGGCUGUAGAGGUGAGGGCUGGUAGGUGUGGUAGGCAGUAGGGGUGAGGGCUGGGCUGGUAGGCUGGAGGGGUGAGGGCUGGGCUGGUAGGCUGUAGGGGUGAGGGCUGGUAGGUGUGGUAGGCUGGAGGGUUGAGGGCUGGUAGGUGUGGUAGGCUGGAGGGGUGAGGGCUGGGCUGGUAGGCUUUAGGGGUGAGGGCUGGUAGGUGUGGUAGGCAGUAGGGGUGAGGGCUGGGCUGGUAGGCUGGAGGGGUGAGGGCUGGGCUGGUAGGCUGUAAAGGUGAGGGCUGGUAGGUGUGGUAGGCUGUAGGGGUGAGGACUGGGCUGGUAGGCGGGGUAAGCUGGAGGGGUGAGGGCUGGACGGAUGAGGGGAUGAACCACAGGUGUGGAGACUUGAGGAGGAGUAGUGGAGAUCUGGAGAAAACCAAAAACUGGAUCACAGGAGCCUGGAGCCGGCGCACACACAGACACAAACAGGAGAGAGGGAGGGCCUGGCACGGAGGUGGAUUUGGAGGGCGUUCCAAGGACCAUGUCGUCACGGUGACAGGGCUCAGUUCUGAGUGCGGGGCACAGUUGCAUUGGUGGGGCUCAGUCGCUGGGGCGUGGCCUGCUCAGUCACGUGACAGGGCCGGCUUAGUCGCUGGGGCGUGGCCAGCUCAGUCAUGGUGACAGGGCCGGCUUAGUCGCUGGGGCGUGGCCAGCUCAGUCGCAGGGGCGGCUCAGUCGCGGUGGCAAGGCCGGCUCAGUUGCGGGGGCGGGGCACAGUCGCGGGGGCGGAGAUCAGUCACGGGGUCGGGGCUCAGUCG